UUAAAGUGGCAGAGCUCAGUAAAUGCAAAAGAUCUAAACUCUUUCUACCAGAGGUUCAAAUCCUCUCUUUAAU
Molecule: transfer RNA, 73 nt
Filed under: Boulengerula boulengeri (Usambara bluish-gray caecilian)
Lineage: Eukaryota; Metazoa; Chordata; Amphibia; Gymnophiona; Herpelidae
Description: tRNA-Leu
Rfam family: tRNA
About the family: Transfer RNA (tRNA) molecules are approximately 80 nucleotides in length. Their secondary structure includes four short double-helical elements and three loops (D, anti-codon, and T loops).
Source: RNAcentral